CGGAUAUUAAAAUCUGCUGCGCCCCAGCUAACGUGGUAAGUGAACCGCCUGGGGAGUACGGUCGCAAGACUAAAACCCAAAGGAAUUGACGGGGGCCCGCACAAGCGGUGGAGCAUGUGGUUUAAUUCGACGCAGCGCGAAGAACCUUACCUGGAUUUGACAUCCUGUGAAUCCCUUGGAAACUUGGGAGUGCCUUCGGGAACGCAGUGACAGGUGCUGCAUGGCUGUCGUCAGCUCGUGUCGUGAGAUGCUUGGUUAAGUCCAGCAACGAGCGCAACCCUUAUCUUUAGUUGCCAGCGCGUAAUGGCGGGAACUCUAGAGAGACUGCCCGGGUUAACCGGGGGGAAGGCGGGGAUGACGUCAAGUCCUCAUGGCCCUUAUGUCCAGGGCUACACACGUGCUACAAUGGUAAGUACAGAGGGCAGCAAGCCAGCGAUGGUUAGCCAAUCCCUAAAGCUUAUCUCAGUCCGGAUUGGAGUCUGCAACUCGACUCCAUGAAGUUGGAAUCGCUAGUAAUCGCGGAUCAGCAUGCCGCGGUGAAUAUGUUCCCGGGCCUUGUACACACCGCCCGUCACACCAUGAGAGUUGAUUAUACCCGACGUCGUUGGGCUAACCCUUCGGGGAAGCAGGCGCCUAAGGUAUGGUUGAUAAUUGGGGUGAAGUCGUAACAAGGUAGCCG
This 679-nucleotide ribosomal RNA is filed under the name uncultured bacterium. RNAcentral describes it as "bacterial SSU rRNA". It matches the Rfam family "Bacterial small subunit ribosomal RNA", at positions 826 to 1502 of the family's 1533-position model. The record is from RNAcentral.